This 63-nucleotide transfer RNA is filed under the name Etrocorema hochii. RNAcentral's name for it is "tRNA-Leu". The record is from RNAcentral. Lineage: Eukaryota; Metazoa; Arthropoda; Insecta; Plecoptera; Perlidae.
UCUAUUUUGGCAGAAAAGUGCGGUAGAUUUAGGAUCUACAUAUGUAAGUAUUUACAAAUAGAA